RNAcentral lists this ribosomal RNA (254 nucleotides) under uncultured bacterium. RNAcentral's name for it is "partial 16S ribosomal RNA". It matches the Rfam family "Bacterial small subunit ribosomal RNA", at positions 524 to 777 of the family's 1533-position model. The record is from RNAcentral.
UACGGAGGAUGCAAGCGUUAUCCGGAUUUAUUGGGCGUAAAGCGUCCGCAGGUGGCUAUUCAAGUCUGCUGUCAAAGCUCGGAGCUUAACUCCGAAUCGGCGGUGGAAACUGAACAGCUAGAGUGCAGUAGGGGUAGAGGGAAUUCCCAGUGUAGCGGUGAAAUGCGUAGAGAUCGGGAGGAACAUCAGUUGCGAAGGCGGCCACCUGGACCAGCACUGACACUGAGGCACGAAAGCGUGGGGAGCAAACAGGA